This is a non-coding RNA of Cinara cedri, 372 nucleotides long. NCBI's taxonomy places the organism in Eukaryota, Metazoa, Arthropoda, Insecta, Hemiptera, Aphididae. The record is from the annotation of a GenBank genome assembly.
CCCAUCUACAACAGUGGCUGCACCCGUCCCCAGUAUCAGUUUUUUUUGUUUUAUAUUUAACAUACUUUCCACAUCUACAUUAACAUUUUUUCAGAAUUAUUUAAAAAAACAAGCAGCUCUAUAAUUUUAUAUUUAUGUUACUUUUUGUCACCCUUAUUUUUGAGGAUAAAAAUAUUACGUAGUCUUGAUUUUCAAACAGCAUCUUAUUCAAAAUAUAACAUGUUAUGAUGGAAUAUUAGUAUAAAUUAAUUUUUGAGUUCAAAUUAUUGAUUCAUGUCAAUUCGUUGACGAAAUAUUUUAAUUUUAGGUUUGUAUCGUUGGAAAUUAGGGGAGCAUACUACGUGGAGGAUCAUUAGUGUGACGACAUGGGAC